Molecule: ribosomal RNA, 460 nt
Filed under: uncultured bacterium
Lineage: Bacteria
Description: partial 16S ribosomal RNA
Rfam family: Bacterial small subunit ribosomal RNA
Source: RNAcentral
CCUACGGGAGGCAGCAGUGAGGAAUAUUGGUCAAUGGACGCAAGUCUGAACCAGCCAUGCCGCGUGCAGGAAGACGGCUCUAUGAGUUGUAAACUGCUUUUGUACGAGGGUAAACGCAGAUACGCGUAUCUGUCUGAAAGUAUCGUACGAAUAAGGAUCGGCUAACUCCGUGCCAGCAGCCGCGGUAAUACGGAGGAUUCAAGCGUUAUCCGGAUUUAUUGGGUUUAAAGGGUGCGUAGGCGGUCGGAUAAGUUAGAGGUUAAAUCCCGAGGCUCAACUUCGGCAUUGCCUCUGAUACUGUUCGGCGUGAGAGUAGUUGCGGUAGGCGGAAUGUGUGGUGUAGCGGUGAAAUGCUUAGAGAUCAUACAGAACACCGAUUGCGAAGGCAGCUUACCAAGCUACUUCUGACGUUGAGGCACGAAAGCGUGGGGAGCAAACAGGAUUAGAUACCCCAGUAGUC